GGGUUGUGAGGUUAAGCGACUAAGCGUACACGGUGGAUGCCCUGGCAGUCAGAGGCGAUGAAGGGCGUGCUAAUCUGCGAUAAGCGCCGGUAAGGUGAUAUGAACCGUUAUAACCGGCGAUACCCGAAUGGGGAAACCCAGUGUGAUUCGUCACACUAUCAUUAACUGAAUCCAUAGGUUAAUGAGGCGAACCGGGGGAACUGAAACAUCUAAGUACCCCGAGGAAAAGAAAUCAACCGAGAUUCCCCCAGUAGCGGCGAGCGAACGGGGAGGAGCCCAGAGCCUGAAUCAGCAUGUGUGUUAGUGGAAGCGUCUGGAAAGGCGCGCGAUACAGGGUGACAGCCCCGUACACAAAAGCGCAUGUGCUGUGAGCUCGAUGAGUAGGGCGGGACACGUGGUAUCCUGUCUGAAUAUGGGGGGACCAUCCUCCAAGGCUAAAUACUCCUGACUGACCGAUAGUGAACCAGUACCGUGAGGGAAAGGCGAAAAGAACCCCGGCGAGGGGAGUGAAAAAGAACCUGAAACCGUGUACGUACAAGCAGUGGGAGCACAGGUUUACCUGUGUGACUGCGUACCUUUUGUAUAAUGGGUCAGCGACUUAUAUUCUGUAGCAAGGUUAACCGUAUAGGGGAGCCGUAGGGAAACCGAGUCUUAACCGGGCGUUAAGUUGCAGGGUAUAGACCCGAAACCCGGUGAUCUAGCCAUGGGCAGGUUGAAGGUUGGGUAACACUAACUGGAGGACCGAACCGACUAAUGUUGAAAAAUUAGCGGAUGACCUGUGGCUGGGGGUGAAAGGCCAAUCAAACCGGGAGAUAGCUGGUUCUCCCCGAAAGCUAUUUAGGUAGCGCCUCGUGAAUUCAUCUCCGGGGGUAGAGCACUGUUUCGGCUAGGGGGCCAUCCCGGCUUACCAACCCGAUGCAAACUGCGAAUACCGGAGAAUGUUAUCACGGGAGACACACGGCGGGUGCUAACGUCCGUCGUGAAGAGGGAAACAACCCAGACCGCCAGCUAAGGUCCCAAAGUCAUGGUUAAGUGGGAAACGAUGUGGGAAGGCCCAGACAGCCAGGAUGUUGGCUUAGAAGCAGCCAUCAUUUAAAGAAAGCGUAAUAGCUCACUGGUCGAGUCGGCCUGCGCGGAAGAUGUAACGGGGCUAAACCAUGCACCGAAGCUGCGGCAGCGACACUGUGUGUUGUUGGGUAGGGGAGCGUUCUGUAAGCCUGUGAAGGUGUGUCGUGAGGCAUGCUGGAGGUAUCAGAAGUGCGAAUGCUGACAUAAGUAACGAUAAAGCGGGUGAAAAGCCCGCUCGCCGGAAGACCAAGGGUUCCUGUCCAACGUUAAUCGGGGCAGGGUGAGUCGACCCCUAAGGCGAGGCCGAAAGGCGUAGUCGAUGGGAAACGGGUUAAUAUUCCCGUACUUGGUGUUACUGCGAAGGGGGGACGGAGAAGGCUAUGUUGGCCGGGCGACGGUUGUCCCGGUUUAAGCGUGUAGGUGUGUGUUCCAGGUAAAUCCGGUUCACUUUAACACUGAGGCGUGAUGACGAGGCACUACGGUGCUGAAGCAACAAAUGCCCUGCUUCCAGGAAAAGCCUCUAAGCAUCAGGUAACAUCAAAUCGUACCCCAAACCGACACAGGUGGUCAGGUAGAGAAUACCAAGGCGCUUGAGAGAACUCGGGUGAAGGAACUAGGCAAAAUGGUGCCGUAACUUCGGGAGAAGGCACGCUGACACGUAGGUGAAGUGAUUUACUCAUGGAGCUGAAGUCAGUCGAAGAUACCAGCUGGCUGCAACUGUUUAUUAAAAACACAGCACUGUGCAAACACGAAAGUGGACGUAUACGGUGUGACGCCUGCCCGGUGCCGGAAGGUUAAUUGAUGGGGUCAGCGCAAGCGAAGCUCCUGAUCGAAGCCCCGGUAAACGGCGGCCGUAACUAUAACGGUCCUAAGGUAGCGAAAUUCCUUGUCGGGUAAGUUCCGACCUGCACGAAUGGCGUAAUGAUGGCCAGGCUGUCUCCACCCGAGACUCAGUGAAAUUGAACUCGCUGUGAAGAUGCAGUGUACCCGCGGCAAGACGGAAAGACCCCGUGAACCUUUACUAUAGCUUGACACUGAACAUUGAGCCUUGAUGUGUAGGAUAGGUGGGAGGCUUUGAAGCGUGGACGCCAGUCUGCGUGGAGCCGACCUUGAAAUACCACCCUUUAAUGUUUGAUGUUCUAACGUGGACCCGUAAUCCGGGUUGCGGACAGUGUCUGGUGGGUAGUUUGACUGGGGCGGUCUCCUCCUAAAGAGUAACGGAGGAGCACGAAGGUUGGCUAAUCCUGGUCGGACAUCAGGAGGUUAGUGCAAUGGCAUAAGCCAGCUUGACUGCGAGCGUGACGGCGCGAGCAGGUGCGAAAGCAGGUCAUAGUGAUCCGGUGGUUCUGAAUGGAAGGGCCAUCGCUCAACGGAUAAAAGGUACUCCGGGGAUAACAGGCUGAUACCGCCCAAGAGUUCAUAUCGACGGCGGUGUUUGGCACCUCGAUGUCGGCUCAUCACAUCCUGGGGCUGAAGUAGGUCCCAAGGGUAUGGCUGUUCGCCAUUUAAAGUGGUACGCGAGCUGGGUUUAGAACGUCGUGAGACAGUUCGGUCCCUAUCUGCCGUGGGCGCUGGAGAACUGAGGGGGGCUGCUCCUAGUACGAGAGGACCGGAGUGGACGCAUCACUGGUGUUCGGGUUGUCAUGCCAAUGGCACUGCCCGGUAGCUAAAUGCGGAAGAGAUAAGUGCUGAAAGCAUCUAAGCACGAAACUUGCCCCGAGAUGAGUUCUCCCUGAGACUUAGAGUCUCCUGAAGGAACGUUGAAGACGACGACGUUGAUAGGCCGGGUGUGUAAGCGCAGCGAUGCGUUGAGCUAACCGGUACUAAUGAACCGUGAGGCUUAACCUUACAACGCCGAAG
Molecule: ribosomal RNA, 2928 nt
Filed under: Salmonella enterica subsp. enterica serovar Newport str. USDA-ARS-USMARC-1928
Lineage: Bacteria; Pseudomonadati; Pseudomonadota; Gammaproteobacteria; Enterobacterales; Enterobacteriaceae
Description: 23S ribosomal RNA
Rfam family: Bacterial large subunit ribosomal RNA
Source: RNAcentral